This is a small nuclear RNA of Peromyscus maniculatus bairdii (prairie deer mouse), 105 nucleotides long. Lineage: Eukaryota; Metazoa; Chordata; Mammalia; Rodentia; Cricetidae. The record is from Ensembl.
GUACUAACUUUGGCAGCACAUAUACUAAAAUUGGAAUGAUACAGGGAUUUAGCAUGCCCCCUGCACAAGGAUGACAUGCAAAUUCGUGAAGAGUUCCAUAUUUUU